GAACUCAAGGGAGACUGCCGGUGAUAAACCGGAGGAAGGUGGGGAUGACGUCAAGUCAUCAUGGCCCUUACGGCCAGGGCUACACACGUGCUACAAUGGCGCGUACAGAGGGCUGCAAGCUAGCGAUAGUGAGCGAAUCCCAAAAAGCGCGUCGUAGUCCGGAUCGGAGUCUGCAACUCGACUCCGUGAAGUCGGAAUCGCUAGUAAUCGCAAAUCAGAAUGUUGCGGUGAAUACGUUCCCGGGCCUUGUACACACC
Molecule: ribosomal RNA, 257 nt
Filed under: uncultured Aeromonas sp.
Lineage: Bacteria; Pseudomonadati; Pseudomonadota; Gammaproteobacteria; Aeromonadales; Aeromonadaceae
Description: partial 16S ribosomal RNA
Rfam family: Bacterial small subunit ribosomal RNA
Source: RNAcentral